GUGGCAUGAAAAAUACCAAGCUAUCUAUCUAUCAAGCUGCAAUAUCUCGGAGAUUAAAUUAUAUUCUUUCAAAUUUUCAAACUUUUGGAAACUUUCAAAGUGAACAUGUUGCGAGGAGAGCAAUAAAGUUUUAAAAUAGUAGCAAACUAAAUCAGACUUUAGAUUCAAUUGACUGUACGGAUUUGUAAAAUACUGCCAUGUAUGUGAAUUUUAGUUUAAAUUAUUUUAUCUUGAAAAAAAUGUUAAUAUCCUAUUCAGAUCAUGAGUAUAAGUUAACGUUUGUAUAAGCUUGUGAGAUGCGUCUACGUACGUCAAAACCAGAAUUAUAAAAAAAAUGAAUAAAAGACAGACGAAUGUCAAAAAUGUAUCAUAAUAAAUAUUCAUAAAAAGAAAAUGCCACAAUAAAAUGGAAAACAAAUCAGUGACUAAUAACAAGAGGAAAAGGUUCAGUGGUGAUAUAUUAUAAGAAAUACUUGGAAUGAAAGUACUUUAUAAUUGCAAUAAGUUACGUCAACCCGUGAUAGGUAGAAACCGACAAAAGAUAAUAAACAUCUUAUCGCAAUAUUCAAAGUUACAACAGAUUCAAACUACUUUAAAACAGAAAGGAAUUAAUACAUACCAGAAUAUUGUAAUUACAUUGAAGACACCAUAAAAUGUAAUAUUUCAAAUUCAACAUGUGACCGAUUUUAUAAAGAACAAAAUCACAGACUUAAAACGAAAACACCCCUUUUUGAAAUUAAUACUUUUGUUAUAUGAAAAGGAGAUGGAAUACAGUGUUUGAUUCUGCGAUAUAAAAUAAUAUCGAAAGAUUAUCAGUGAUUAUAUCAAAGCAAAGAUUGCUGUUAUCGUUUGCAUAAUGAACAUUACGACAACAGCUGUUCCGAGCGUACAGUCUGGAUUCAUGAGUUUUAUGUAUGGCUUCUACACUGUGAUAACACCGGUUAUUUUUGUCAUUGUUAUUAUCAUCCUGUUGGUGUAUGUGGUUGUUUGCGUUACAUAGCAGUAUAUUAUUUGGAAGAUGGAGAAGGAACUUCUUUGUUAGUUAAAACCGGAGCAUUUAAAAUACAUGUGAUAAAAGCAAAGGGAGACUACUAGAAUGACAAAACACUAUUUGCAUUUCGGAUCUUUGAGCAAUAUGUUGCAUGUAACACACAUUUGAGUAGAGGUAUAUAGUUAUUUCAUUCGUAUUUUACAUAUUUGUGCAACGACAAAGUAGCGACAUGCUGAUGGGGAUACAAUCUGUAACAGUUUGAAGUAUUCAAAACUUUAUCAAACAAUGUAUUUUUAUAACAGUACAUGUAUGCAGUUGAUUUGUCACAUCAAAACCUAUUGUUGACAUAAAUUUUUAAAUUAUAAAAAAACAUUAAAAGUACUUAAAGGUGAACUGUUGAUAUACAUAAUUUAAAUGAAAUACGCACAUCUUGAUUUUAUAUUUUGUAAGCACGAUGUGUAAACUUUCAGAUCUAUCUAAUCUAUGUCAAGUCUCCUUGCCAACCAAACUGUCAUACUACAGAAAAUGUGAAAUCACAUAUUUUAAUUGGGUUAUUGUUGGAAGAUUUUGUUUUUCUAAAAUACAUGCAUAUUGAAAGAAAUUAGAAAAUGUCCAAUAAAAUGAUUACCUAUCUAAGCUUAUAUUAAGUAUAUUGUCAAUGUCAUGUACAACAUAUUAGUAAUACAAAUUAAUAUGUACCAAACGAAGCAAACUGAAAAUUGAUUUUUGCAUUAGAUUAUAUCACCCAGUAUAUGAUAACAAAGUUAGUUCAUUGUUCAUUUUAACUGGUGUCAUGCAGCCUCAUAGAAGACAUGCUUAUCAUUAAAGUGAUUAAUACUUUAUAUACAUUUUUUAUGUUUGUGAUGUCCGAAAAUGACGUACCAUUUUCGAAACGCUUUUCUUAUUUUUUACUUGUAACAAGAGCGUAUCAACAUGUUAUAUAAUGUUUCAAUAAAUAAAUCUAACUUUAUGUUGAUGAAAAGAAGUACAUGUACAUGUUCAAACAUAUUUAUUAUAGUAGGAACAACAAAUGACAUUGAAAUAUUGAAACGAUGUGGAUUAGUUUAAUUGUACACAUUAUUCUAACACGAUCCGAUUCAUGUUCCUAUUAACAAAGAAGGCUGAAAACAGUGAAUUAUUGUACAACAAAUCGCUGUUCUGACGUCACAAUUAUUACGUCAUAGCGUCAAACGACAUAGAGGCGCGCUGGAAAAGAAACCGAUAGAAAACGGGCAAAUAUUUAAUGAAUACCGUCAAGGAUAUACUUUAAAGUCCUUGGUAACGUGUUAGAAUCGAAAUAAUAUAUCUCAUUUAGUGAUUUGCUCUUGGAUAAAAUCAGUGUUUGUCGUUCAGAUGCGUAUUAAUUAUAUCACUCGGGCUGCGCCCUCGUGAUAUCUGAACUCCAAACAAUGACUUAUUCAGCGCCAAAUCACUUAAUGAGAUAUAUUAUUUCUUAAAUUUAAUACCAAAUAAAAAUGACAUUGACACUAAACUAUUGCAUGUCCCAAUAUCACAAUAACAUAUGUUAAAGAUAUUCAACGCGUAUCUCUCAAAAAACAGUUUAUUCUUCGGUACCAGCUUAAAUUGUUAAAAAUACUCAACAGAUUGCGUAACGUGUUUAUAUAUAUUAUCAUGCAAUAACUAUGCAAAGUGCCUGAUCUCACUUGCCUGAUAUUUUAUUUUGUUAUCAGGUCAUUGACCUGAUAUCAAAAUUAAGCCCCUCCCAUAUUGACGGACUAGUUUUUACAUCAUUCCAGAUUGAAUUUUAUUACAGAGUCCAGUCUCGAUGUUGCACAACAUUUUUUUCUAAAUAGAUUCUGUAAUCUCAACAAAUUUCCUGGAAUAUGGUUGUCUCUAAUUUUAUCACACAGACAAUAGCACUGAAUGACGUCAUUGUGAACCGUUCAUCAUGACAUCACAAUGUUUACAUGGAUCGAUUCUUGGAAAGGUUUACAAUGCACUUGACAAUGUAAGAUAUACUGGUACUGAUGAUAAACCCGAACAGAAAAUGAGGUUUUUUACCUGUAACUUUUUUAUUUCUGCAAACUGAAAUCAAUGGUCGGUAUCAAAAUAAAGCUUAACCUUUGCUGAAAACUUUACAUAAUUCAAAUUUAUAUUUAGUAAGCAAACUCACACGAAGUGAGGGCCUGAAAGGGGUAUGUAAAAAGGGGACUUUAUGAAUGCUGACUGAUGAUAAUUUCGAACCCUUUGUCAGUUACAAAAUUUUCUUGGUAUUAUUAUAUUGAAAUUUCCCCAAAAAGCUACAACAGUCAUUCCUGAUCAAGUAAUGAAAAGUUAACAAAUGUCAGGUCUUCAUGUUUUGACAGUGAGCAUGCGCAAGAAAACACCCUCUUCCCCAGUAAUUUUGGAUAAAUAUUUUUUAUACAAAUUUAUGUAAGUCAUUUAUUUAUACAGAAUAUUUAUCAAUUUUGUUUUUGUUUACACCAGUUGGUGUUGUAAGUGGAAACUAUUAGAUGGUGUGUUCAAUUUUAUAAAUAACCGAUUGCAAUCGAAUAUUUCCAAGGUGUUCGACUUUAUCAUCUGUCCGGGUUUAUCAUCAGUACCAGUACUUAUUCUCGGUUUAUGCCUAAUUUAAGGCAUGCACAUUUUAUUAAGUAUUAGCAAAACUAUUUGUGUUAAUUAUUAUUCUUGAAUCGGUGUAAAUUUUGUGAUUUUAAAAACUUUAAAGUAUCUCAGAGACUCUGAUGUGAGUCUGGAACUGGAAGUGAAAUUUUCAGCGCUUUGGUUUGGACAUGUAGUUGUCUGUGUCAAAUGUUUCAUAAUGGAAAUAAAGCAUGUUCUGGUUUAUUCAAGAGGAUGAUUUUUGAUUUUUUAUGCAGGUAAGAGUGUAUUUCAUUGUUACUUUUUUACAAGAAUAUCAGAGAGUUAAAAAAAAAUUGUCGGAAAUGAAUUCGAUAUGGCUGUCGUAUUGUUUCGUUCAGAUGUUUCAGGGGCGGAUGAAUUUUCAAAUCCAUAAAAUAUAAAUUUAAUUUUUUGCUUCAGUAGACAUCUUUUACUAAAUAAGAGAUGAAAACAUAUGUUGUUCUAAGCAGUUUGUGUGGGUUUCAUGAUAAAUAGAAUAACAGGCUACUGUCUUUUGAUAUCAAUGCUAUCAGGUCUCGGCUGAUAUGGGCGGAAGGGAUUCGGUUCCCUCACCCCUUCCAGCCCAUAUCAACCUCGACCUGAUAACAUUGAUAUCAAAAGACAGUAGCCUGUUAUUCUCUAUGAAACAGGCUGUAGUUGUAGAGCAAAACUAAAAAAAAAACCCAAAAAACCAAGCUAUGUACGAAAUUCCUUUGUUACCGGAAAUACCAUGGUUAGCUAUUAUACAUGUAUAAGAUGCGUAUCAUUUCAAACUUUGCACACAGCUCCGUUUUCACAUAUAUAUUUAGUAAUAUAUAUAUGAACGAGGUGUUAUAUACCUAUAAAAAUGCGGCAUAAACAUUGAGAUAGCUGUUAUUUAAUUGAAAAGGAAGCCAGUAUAAUGUUUUUGUUCUGGGCAAAACGGACUGUUUCAGACAAUGUAAAAGCUCUAAAUGCCAGCAUUGUCUCUUUAAAUAAGUAAGAUAACAUCGUAUGUAAGUGUAAAUUACCACAUACGCUUUGUAAGAUAACUUACUUAAGGAUACUCAAACAUUCGUGUACCUAAAAAUGAAUAUCUUAGCAAAACAAGCAAUGGUUAGGUGCCUCCUUGCUUUUAUAUGAUUUGUCUCCACAUUUCCAAAUAACAACUUGCCAAGGAGCAUUCCAAAAUGAAGGAGAAAGACUAAGCCAUACAUGGUACUAUGUAAAUAAGAUGUUCUACAUCAGAAUUCUGUUAAGGUAAUUAUAAAAUAUGUAAAACUCUUUUGUUAUCCUUAAACAGAUGCAACUAUCUCAUCAAAAGCAGUUACGCACAAAUAAAUGAAUUUAGGUAUCAAUUUCCACCACAACUGAAUUACAAGUGCUAUAAUCCAAGAGUGGUUUAGUUUAAUCAAGUUUUGCUGUAUGCUUCGUCGAAUGGUUAUUAACACGAGUUCAUAUACUAUGUAUUCAUAUUCCGUUCACAGUUACCGAUAUAUUUAAAAUUUCGCUAUACUUACGCAUCUACAUUCUGAUAUUUUCGAAACAGAAACAUUUUAACUAUAGGUCAGUAUUAAUACUUACUUAUAAUUGAUAAAAACAACUGACAAAUGUAUGAUUUUAAAUGGAUUAAUUAUCUGAAUAAGACAUUACGCAGCAGCAGUAUUGUAAUAAAGGUAAUGGCAAAUAUAAACAGAAAAUACAUACUAGUACCCGUAUAUGACUGCAAAUUAUUUUAAAUGUACACAUUUAUAACAUAUUUCAAAACAAGAUCUGCAAUACUAUCGGGGUUAAACAGAAUUCAUUAGCCAUAUAGUCAGGGACUUUAGUUUUUUUUUUCUGCACGUACUCCUAAAUUUAUUUCCGCUGUAAUAAAAUCUGUGUUUGAUUUUGUACUGAUGUUGACUCCUUCAAGAUCUGAAAAUGACUAAGCAUGAAUCGAUUUUCGCUGCUAAAGAAGAGGAUAAGUUUGAAAAUAACAUUUAUUCUGUAACUUACUAGCGAGAAACAGUACAAAAGUGCAGACGCAUACAGUUAUAUCUCCGAUUAUCCGAAGUUAUAUCGGCCAUGCAAUAUAGCAAUCUCUAUGUGUGAUUGACAACUCGGCGAACAAACUGUUAGGGAUUAUCAGUAUUUGUUGCGCAGAAAACUAAAUAAGUAAAAAAGCACAUAGUAUAAAGUAUAAUGAUACCUCUCUGUGAGGAGUACUAAUUGAUUUAACUGACAUUCUUGACACUAUGACAUUACCACGAGAUAUUAUCAUGUGACCAUGAAUUAACAGUCUUGUAAACGCAGUGUUAUCUCGUUGCCACGAGUUAAUCAACUAAUACAAUGUACCUCUACGGAAGGAGUUAUUGAAUCGUAACAACGACUUUACUCUCUUAUUUGUAACGGUAUCUCGUGGAAAAGACACAGUAUUUCGUGGCCAAGAGAUAGAUAAAAGCGCAAAUAGGAAACUGGGUUUCCAUGUGCACCGCCAUAUUAACACAUCUGCGAGUAUCUUUAAGUUAUAUUUUGGUACUGAUAACAUUUGUAAAUGUUGAGUUCUGCUCAAACUGGGACUUAAAGACAUGGGCAGUAGCUUGCUUUUCCACUACCGUCCAUGAACAGGCUCAAUCUCUAAUUUUUCAGUUCUUAGAUCUUUGUUGUAGAACAGUUGUAAACUGCAAAGUUAACGUACAUUUAAGACUAUUCUCGUGCAGUGUAAAUAGCAUGUAGAUGAGUUUCGUUAACAUUGUUCGACGCAUUGCCAACUCCGAAUACAAAUGUCCGGCUCCAUUCAUCCCCUCUUCAUACUGUCAGUGUUAAUAGAAUACUUUUAACUGUCAAAUCACAUGCACCUAUCAUUAAAAUCAUAUAUUAUUAACAACAUUGCAGUACCGUUCGUAAAUUUAAUUGUUUUCUAACUAUCAAUACUGAAAGGAGUACAGUGACACAGUAACUACAAAAUUUAAAUGUACAUGAUAUUACAAGUUUUUUUCAUUCUCUGGGUCUUAAACUGCGCAGUAGUUAUUCACACAUUUGAAAACUUGAAACUUUAAUCUAGAUCUUGUAUAAAAGAGAUUGCAUGAUAGGAUCAAGUGGCAUACUUACUAAACCCUAGGCUGUGUUUCUACAACGUAUCCUAAACAUCGAUGAAACCUUAUGAAACACGGAAGUUAUACCAAACUCCGCAAACAUUCGGUAAAACACAAUAAAUUAGACAAUGAAUGUCAGAAAAACUUUCAUAAGAAACAGAGUAUUUUAUGUAUGUGUUUUUCGGACACAUACUUGUCGUGUUAUGAAGGACUGAGCAGAGCUGAAUAACAUUUAUAAUCUUUGAUGAAACAAACCUAUUUUGAUAUCAGGUGGAUACCUAUGAAAUGGAGUACUCAUAUAUUCAUAGUCUAUCUAUAAAUUGAAAUUUCACUGAUUGCAACAUUUAUCAAAAGAUGCCAUAGGUAAUUACAUUACUGUAAAUAUAAACGCAACGGCAACAAUUUGAAAAAAUCUACAUACAAAUUCAUAUUAAAUUUGUCUUUUCGUAAACGCAAGUUGUGAAAGAAAAGUAUAUAUGAUGUUACCGAAAACAUGCAAAAAAUUAUUAAAUAUCUAAACUGUAUCUUAAGAUAUUUAGUAUCUACAAUUUUGAAGACACCCGACUUGAAAACUAAUUUAAAAGUAAAGAAUCGGAAAAUAGUAUGCAUGGUACAGAAAGAACACUCAGAAUUAUUGUCACAAUGCCAGAUUUGUAGUGGAUGUCUGAAAUUCAGUGGAAUAAAAAUAUCGUUCUAUCUUCCGCCGCGAUAUACCACAGAGAUGAAAGCAUAUACUCUACAAAAUUCAGAACUUUGGGAUAUUUCAAAGUGGAUAAUGGCAUUUAAGUUUCAAAUAAUAUGUAAACGUGAAGAGUUGAGUUUAAUAGAUAAAUAAACCCUAGAUAAGCGGAUGCAAUAAAUGUGUUGUGACUAUCAUCAUGAUAAUGGAUACGUGUUUAAUCACUUUGAAGUUAAACAUUUGUUAAAUGUAACUACGCAUAAUAAAUAGGAAUAAUGAACGUAUAUUGAACGAAAACUUAGCAUGAAAAAUGUUUGUUACAUUCAAAAUAUCAUAAAAGAACAUGACGAAAACAACACGUGUUGUUGCGAUGAUGAUAUUUUGCAAACUAUAAUUCGACGGAAUGCCUAAAAUAUUCGGCAUUAAUGAUAUGAAUAUUUGACGGACUCAAAAAUAAAAUGCGAAAUGAUAAUUCAAGUGCAAUGUGUGAUCAACGUUACAACAAAUUCGCAUUUCGAUAACAAGGGAAAAAAAGAGUACAAUAUACAUAUCAAGCAUAAUAUAGUUAACACUGUGGGCACAGAAAACAAUAAGGUAUUCAGAUAAAAUGUGAUAUGCGGCCGAUUUAUAACGGGCGGAUGCGAAAACAGUCCAUUUUAAAAUGUAUACAGUUUGAACACUGCAUAAGAUGGAAUUUGGAAUUUGGUUCGUUCAUGUGUUCUUAAGAAACGUUACAAUAAAAAUAUAACGAACAUUACGACAACAGCUGUCUCGAGCAUUAUGUACGGCAUUUACACUGCGAUAACACCGCUCAUUUUUAUCAUUGUUAUUCUAAUAUUAUUGUUAUAUGUGGUUGUGUAUACAAUACAUUAAUGUAACAUUUUAAUAUUUUAUGUUAACAAAGAAGAAGAUAUGUUGCCGAAACGUUAGAAUAUAUGUAAUUUGUA
Long non-coding RNA from Mercenaria mercenaria, 8256 nucleotides. RefSeq lists it as uncharacterized. The record is from RefSeq and is a predicted model, not a curated record. The transcript is spliced from 2 exons. NCBI's taxonomy places the organism in Eukaryota, Metazoa, Mollusca, Bivalvia, Venerida, Veneridae.